This 317-nucleotide long non-coding RNA is filed under the name Ananas comosus (pineapple). RNAcentral describes it as "long non-coding RNA (ACOM_LNC035719)". The record is from RNAcentral. Lineage: Eukaryota; Viridiplantae; Streptophyta; Magnoliopsida; Poales; Bromeliaceae.
CAAGAUGCUCGGGCGGCAGCGGCGACGCAUAGAGGCGGCGGCGCGUAGAGACAGCAGCGGCCGGCGGGGCAGUCGCCAGAGCUCAGGGGGCGAUGCCGGAGAGGGCUGGAUUGCCAAGGUCUCGAGCCGCGAUGGGGGAAUAAAGGACAAUGUGAAGGAGAGGGAAGGUGGCUACGGUUGCGGCUGCGGCUGCAGCAGCUACUGGCCGGCCGGGGCUCGAUCGGCUGCGGCCGGCAGGUGCGCGGUGGGGCAGGGAAGAUGUACGAAGGAGGCUGGGGGGGUGCGGCAAGGCUAGGGCUAGGGUUAGCUAGAAGAAA